UCCCUGGUAGCUCAGCUGGUAAAGAAUCUGCUUGCAAUGCGGGAAACCUGGGUUCGAUCCCUGGCUUGGGAA
Molecule: transfer RNA, 72 nt
Filed under: Ovis aries (sheep)
Lineage: Eukaryota; Metazoa; Chordata; Mammalia; Artiodactyla; Bovidae
Rfam family: tRNA
About the family: Transfer RNA (tRNA) molecules are approximately 80 nucleotides in length. Their secondary structure includes four short double-helical elements and three loops (D, anti-codon, and T loops). Further hydrogen bonds mediate the characteristic L-shaped molecular structure. tRNAs have two regions of fundamental functional importance: the anti-codon, which is responsible for specific mRNA codon recognition, and the 3' end, to which the tRNAs corresponding amino acid is attached (by aminoacyl-tRNA synthetases). tRNAs cope with the degeneracy of the genetic code in two manners: having more than one tRNA (with a specific anti-codon) for a particular amino acid; and 'wobble' base-pairing, i.e. permitting non-standard base-pairing at the 3rd anti-codon position.
Source: Rfam by way of RNAcentral